CCUACGGGAGGCAGCAGUGAGGAAUAUUGGUCAAUGGGCGGGAGCCUGAACCAGCCAAGUCGCGUGAGGGAAGACGGUCCUAUGGAUUGUAAACCUCUUUAGGCGGGGAGCAAUGCCGGGCACGCGUGUCCGGAGGGAGAGUACCCGCAGAAUAAGCAUCGGCUAACUCCGUGCCAGCAGCCGCGGUAAUACGGAGGAUGCGAGCGUUAUCCGGAUUUAUUGGGUUUAAAGGGUGCGUAGGCGGAUUUUUAAGUCAGCGGUAAAAUGUCCGGGCUCAACCCGGGCCGGCCGUUGAAACUGGGGAGCUUGAGUGGGCGAGAAGUAUGCGGAAUGCGUGGUGUAGCGGUGAAAUGCAUAGAUAUCACGCAGAACUCCGAUUGCGAAGGCAGCAUACCGGCGCCCGACUGACGCUGAGGCACGAAAGCGUGGGGAUCGAACAGGAUUAGAUACCCCAGUAGUC
Molecule: ribosomal RNA, 460 nt
Filed under: uncultured bacterium
Lineage: Bacteria
Description: partial 16S ribosomal RNA
Rfam family: Bacterial small subunit ribosomal RNA
Source: RNAcentral